CCUACGGGAGGCAGCAGUGAGGAAUAUUGGUCAAUGGGCGGAAGCCUGAACCAGCCAAGUCGCGUGAGGGAAUAAGGCCCUACGGGUCGUAAACCUCUUUUGCCGGGGAGCAAGGGCGGGGACGUGUCCCGGCCCGGAGAGUACCCGGAGAAAAAGCAUCGGCUAACUCCGUGCCAGCAGCCGCGGUAAUACGGAGUAUGCGAGCGUUAUCCGGAUUUAAUGGGUUUAAAGGGUGCGUAGGCGGGCGUUUAAGUCAGCGGUAAAAAUUCGGGGCUCAACCCCGUCCGGCCGUUGAAACUGGAGGCCUUGAGUGGGCGAGAAGAAGGCGGAAUGCGUGGUGUAGCGGUGAAAUGCAUAGAUAUCACGCAGAACCCCGAUGGCGAAGGCAGCCUUCCGGCGCCCUACUGACGCUGAGGCACGAAAGUGCGGGGAUCGAACAGGAUUAGAUACCCGAGUAGUC
Molecule: ribosomal RNA, 460 nt
Filed under: uncultured bacterium
Lineage: Bacteria
Description: partial 16S ribosomal RNA
Rfam family: Bacterial small subunit ribosomal RNA
Source: RNAcentral